This 139-nucleotide ribosomal RNA is filed under the name uncultured eukaryote. RNAcentral describes it as "partial 18S ribosomal RNA". It matches the Rfam family "Eukaryotic small subunit ribosomal RNA", at positions 1299 to 1458 of the family's 1831-position model. The record is from RNAcentral.
UGGUGGAGUGAUUUGUCUGGUUAAUUCCGUUAACGAACGAGACCUUAACCUGCUAAAUAGUUACGUGAUUCUUGAAUCACGGACAACUUCUUAGAGGGACUAUUGGGAUCCAAACCAAUGGAAGUUUGAGGCAAUAACA